RNAcentral lists this ribosomal RNA (311 nucleotides) under uncultured eukaryote. RNAcentral describes it as "partial 18S ribosomal RNA". It matches the Rfam family "Eukaryotic small subunit ribosomal RNA", at positions 1470 to 1796 of the family's 1831-position model. The record is from RNAcentral.
CCCUUAGAUGUACUGGGCCGCACGCGUGCUACACUGAUGCAUACAGCGAGUACUCCCAGCUCCGAGAGGCUGCUGGUAAUCAGCAAUAUGCAUCGUGAUGGGGAUAGAUCUUUGGAAUUAUAGAUCUUGAACGAGGAAUUCCUAGUAAUCGCAGGUCAUCACCCUGCGUUGACUAAGUCCCUGCCCUUUGUACACACCGCCCGUCGCUCCUACCGAUUUCGAGUGAUCCGGUGAAUCAUUCGGACCGCGGCCCCUAGGCAUGCGGAAAGUCUAGUAAACCAUAUCACUUAGAGGAAGGAGAAGUCGUAACA